RNAcentral lists this ribosomal RNA (256 nucleotides) under uncultured bacterium. RNAcentral describes it as "partial 16S ribosomal RNA". It matches the Rfam family "Bacterial small subunit ribosomal RNA", at positions 524 to 778 of the family's 1533-position model. The record is from RNAcentral.
UACGUAGGGUGCGAGCGUUAAUCGGAAUUACUGGGCGUAAAGCGUGCGCAGGCGGUUUUGUAAGCCAGAUGUGAAAUCCCCGGGCUUAACCUGGGAAUGGCAUUUGGGACUGCAAGGCUUGAGUGCGGCAGAGGAGACUGGAAUUCCUGGUGUAGCAGUGAAAUGCGUAGAUAUCAGGAGGAACACCGAUGGCGAAGGCAGGUCUCUGGGCUGACACUGACGCUCAUGCACGAAAGGCGUGGGGAGCGAAACAAAG